UACGUAGGGCGCAAGCGUUGUCCGGAAUUAUUGGGCGUAAAGAGCUCGUAGGCGGUCUGUCACGUCGGAUGUGAAAGUCGGGGGCUCAACCCUCGAAUGCCGGUGGAUACUGUCGGGCUAGAGUGCGGAAGAGGCGAGUGGAAUUCCUGGUGUAGCGGUGAAAUGCGCAGAUAUCAGGAGGAACACCGGUGGCGAAGGCGGGUCUCUGGGCCGAUACUGACGCUGAGGAGCGAAAGCGUGGGGAGCGAACAGG
RNAcentral lists this ribosomal RNA (253 nucleotides) under uncultured bacterium. RNAcentral describes it as "partial 16S ribosomal RNA". It matches the Rfam family "Bacterial small subunit ribosomal RNA", at positions 524 to 776 of the family's 1533-position model. The record is from RNAcentral.